RNAcentral lists this ribosomal RNA (844 nucleotides) under marine metagenome. Its description in RNAcentral is "bacterial SSU rRNA". It matches the Rfam family "Bacterial small subunit ribosomal RNA", at positions 430 to 1290 of the family's 1533-position model. The record is from RNAcentral.
CCUCUUUUCUCAAGGAAGAAGAUAUGACGGUACUUGAGGAAUAAGCCACGGCUAAUUCCGUGCCAGCAGCCGCGGUAAUACGGGAGUGGCAAGCGUUAUCCGGAAUUAUUGGGCGUAAAGCGUCCGCAGGCGGCUUCUCAAGUCUGCUGUUAAAACGUGGAGCUUAACUCCAUCAUGGCAGUGGAAACUGAGAGGCUUGAGUAUGGUAGGGGCAGAGGGAAUUCCCGGUGUAGCGGUGAAAUGCGUAGAUAUCGGGAAGAACACCAGUGGCGAAGGCGCUCUGCUGGGCCAUUACUGACGCUCAUGGACGAAAGCCAGGGGAGCGAAAGGGAUUAGAUACCCCUGUAGUCCUGGCCGUAAACGAUGAACACUAGGUGUCGGGGGAAUCGACCCCUUCGGUGUCGUAGCUAACGCGUUAAGUGUUCCGCCUGGGGAGUACGCACGCAAGUGUGAAACUCAAAGGAAUUGACGGGGGCCCGCACAAGCGGUGGAGUAUGUGGUUUAAUUCGAUGCAACGCGAAGAACCUUACCAGGGUUUGACAUCCUGCGAACCUCUUAGAAAUUUGAGGGUGCCUUCGGGAAUGCAGUGACAGGUGGUGCAUGGCUGUCGUCAGCUCGUGUCGUGAGAUGUUGGGUUAAGUCCCGCAACGAGCGCAACCCACGUUUUUAGUUGCCAGCAUUUAGUUGGGCACUCUAGAAAGACCGCCGGUGAUAAACCGGAGGAAGGUGUGGAUGACGUCAAGUCAUCAUGCCCCUUACACCCUGGGCUACACACGUACUACAAUGCUACGGACAAAGGGCAGCAAACUCGCGAGAGCUAGCAAAUCCCAUAAACCGUGGCUCA